AUCUAUGGCUAUACCACCCUGAAUGCAACUGAUCUUGUCUGAUCUUGGAAGAUAAGCAGGGUUGGGCCUGGUUAGUACUGGGAUGGGAGGACUGACUUACAGUGUGAGUGGAGGGGCUGAGGUUU
Molecule: ribosomal RNA, 125 nt
Organism: Pteropus vampyrus (large flying fox)
Lineage: Eukaryota; Metazoa; Chordata; Mammalia; Chiroptera; Pteropodidae
Source: Ensembl